AACGCACCUUGCGCUCCUUGGUAUUCCGAGGAGCAUGCCUGUUUGAGUGUCUUGAAGUCAUCAACCCCUCCGGUUUUGCGAUCGGAGACGGUUGGAUUCUGGGGGCGUGCUGCCGAAAGGCUGCUCCCCUCAAAUGUGUCGGUCGGGCCUGCGGGUCGGACUCGGUUGUGCGUUGUACCAUCCUCGCUCUGGCCGAGAAGUUCCCCUGUUCGUGCCCCUCCAAGACUCGCCUGUAGAGCGGCAGUCAAAACACUUUGAAAUCUGACCUCAAAUCAGGUAGGACUACCCGCUGAACUUAA
This 299-nucleotide unclassified non-coding RNA is filed under the name uncultured fungus. Its description in RNAcentral is "partial contains 5.8S ribosomal RNA, internal transcribed spacer 2, and large subunit ribosomal RNA". The stretch from base 1 to 52 matches the Rfam family "5.8S ribosomal RNA", at positions 103 to 154 of the family's 154-position model. Lineage: Eukaryota; Fungi. The record is from RNAcentral.